Molecule: ribosomal RNA, 454 nt
Filed under: uncultured bacterium
Lineage: Bacteria
Description: bacterial SSU rRNA
Rfam family: Bacterial small subunit ribosomal RNA
Source: RNAcentral
ACUCCUACGGGAGGCAGCAGUGGGGAAUAUUGCACAAUGGGCGCAAGCCUGAUGCAGCCAUGCCGCGUGUAUGAAGAAGGCCUUCGGUUGUAAAGUACUUUCAGCAGUGAGGAAGGUGGGUAUGUUAAUAGCAUAUUCAUUUGACGUUAGCUGCAGAAGAAGCACCGGCUAACUCCGUGCCAGCAGCCGCGGUAAUACGGAGGGUGCGAGCGUUAAUCGGAAUUACUGGGCGUAAAGCGCAUGCAGGUGGUUUGUUAAGUCAGAUGUGAAAGCCCGGGGCUCAACCUCGGAAUUGCAUUUGAAACUGGCAAACUAGAGUACUGUAGAGGGGGUAGAAUUUCAGGUGUAGCGGUGAAAUGCGUAGAGAUCUGAAGGAAUACCGGUGGCGAAGGCGGCCCCCUGGACAGAUACUGACACUCAGAUGCGAAAGCGUGGGGAGCAAACAGGAUUAGAU